This is a long non-coding RNA of Corvus hawaiiensis (hawaiian crow), 307 nucleotides long. RefSeq lists it as uncharacterized. Lineage: Eukaryota; Metazoa; Chordata; Aves; Passeriformes; Corvidae. The transcript is spliced from 2 exons. The record is from RefSeq and is a predicted model, not a curated record.
GCCGGGGGUGCCGUGGGCAGCGCGGUGGCCGGGCCCCCCUGCCCGGGCCAGGCAGGGGGACCCGUUGGGGACAGGCUGCAGGAGGUGUUGCGAGACCUGGACAUCGCCCACGCCGCCUUCGCCCACCGCGACGAGACCUCGGAGCCACCCGCAAGUCCCCUCCCUGCCCCGAGACCCCCGGCACCCCCCAGCUUUCCCCCCUCAGCCCGCCCUGGGAGGGGCAGGGACGCCGGUGGGGCCACAGAGGGGACGCGGGGACAGCAGCCCGGCACGGGGUGUAUUCUGUAACACAGAGAUGUACAUGGCA